UCAAACUUGGUCAUUUAGAGGAAGUAAAAGUCGUAACAAGGUCUCCGUAGGUGAACCUGCGGAGGGAUCAUUACCGAGCUCGUGCCCCUGGGCAGAACUCCCACCCACUGAUAUCGCUGCGACCGUUGCUUUGGCGGGCCGCGGGGCGCCCCCCCGCCGCCGGCCCCGCGCCGGCGCGCGCCCGCCAGAGGCCCCGUCGACCCUCGAUGUCCGCGUCGUCCGAGCGUCAUGUCAAUCGUUAAAACUUUCAACAACGGAUCUCUUGGUUCUGGCAUCGAUGAAGAACGCAGC
RNAcentral lists this unclassified non-coding RNA (291 nucleotides) under uncultured fungus. RNAcentral describes it as "partial contains small subunit ribosomal RNA, internal transcribed spacer 1, and 5.8S ribosomal RNA". The stretch from base 1 to 73 matches the Rfam family "Eukaryotic small subunit ribosomal RNA", at positions 1759 to 1831 of the family's 1831-position model. The record is from RNAcentral. Lineage: Eukaryota; Fungi.